CCUCCUAACAUUCGGCAUGCUUAACAUGCAGUCGAACGGCAGCACGGGAGCAAUCCUGGUGGCGAGUGGCGAACGGGUGAGUAAUAUAUCGGAACGUGCCCAGUCGUGGGGGAUAACGCAGCGAAAGCUGUGCUAAUACCGCAUACGAUCUCUGGAUGAAAGCGGGGGACUCGCAAGAGCCUCGCGCGAUUGGAGCGGCCGAUAUCAGAUUAGCUAGUUGGCGGGGUAAAAGCCCACCAAGGCGACGAUCUGUAGCUGGUCUGAGAGGACGACCAGCCACACUGGAACUGAGACACGGUCCAGACUCCUACGGGAGGCAGCAGUGGGGAAUUUUGGACAAUGGGCGAAAGCCUGAUCCAGCAAUGCCGCGUGCAGGAUGAAGGCCUUCGGGUUGUAAACUGCUUUUGUACGGAACGAAACGGUCUGCCCUAAUACGGUGGGCUAAUGACGGUACCGUAAGAAUAAGCACCGGCUAACUACGUGCCAGCAGCCGCGGUAAUACGUAGGGUGCGAGCGUUAAUCGGAAUUACUGGGCGUAAAGCGUGCGCAGGCGGUUAUAUAAGACAGAUGUGAAAUCCCCGGGCUCAACCUGGGACCUGCAUUUGUGACUGUAUAGCUAGAGUACGGUAGAGGGGGAUGGAAUUCCGCGUGUAGCAGUGAAAUGCGUAGAUAUGCGGAGGAACACCGAUGGCGAAGGCAAUCCCCUGGACCUGUACUGACGCUUUGCACGAAAGCGUGGGGAGCAAACAGGAUUAGAUACCCCGGUAGUCCACGCCCUAACGAUGUCUACUGGUUGUUGGGUCUUCUCUGACUCAGUAUCGAACCUACUUCAUGAAUUUACC
RNAcentral lists this ribosomal RNA (842 nucleotides) under Rhodoferax sp. RNAcentral describes it as "bacterial SSU rRNA". It matches the Rfam family "Bacterial small subunit ribosomal RNA", at positions 22 to 870 of the family's 1533-position model. The record is from RNAcentral. Lineage: Bacteria; Pseudomonadati; Pseudomonadota; Betaproteobacteria; Burkholderiales; Comamonadaceae.